GACGAACGCUGGCGGCGUGCUUAACACAUGCAAGUGGAGCGACGAACCUGGCUUCGGCCAGGGGCAGAGCCGCGAACGGGUGAGUAACACGUGGGUCAUCUGCCCAGUUGACAGGGACAACCCGGGGAAACCCGGGCUAAUACCUGAUGUGCCCCUCGGGGGAAAGGAAGCUUCGGCCUCCGCAACUGGAUGAGCCCGCGGCGCAUUAGCUUGUUGGUGGGGUAACGGCCUACCAAGGCGACGAUGCGUAGCUGGUCUGAGAGGACGAUCAGCCACACUGGGACUGAGACACGGCCCAGACUCCUACGGGAGGCAGCAGUGGGGAAUCUUGCGCAAUGCGCGAAAGCGUGACGCAGCAACGCCGCGUGGAGGAAGACGGCCUUCGGGUUGUAAACUCCUUUCAGUUGGGACGAAGCCUUCGCGGUGAAUAGCCGUGUGAGGUGACGGUACCUUCAGAAGAAGCCCCGGCUAACUACGUGCCAGCAGCCGCCGUAAUAC
RNAcentral lists this ribosomal RNA (498 nucleotides) under uncultured bacterium. RNAcentral's name for it is "bacterial SSU rRNA". It matches the Rfam family "Bacterial small subunit ribosomal RNA", at positions 28 to 526 of the family's 1533-position model. The record is from RNAcentral.